UAAAAAAAUAAAAUAAUUUGAUUCGACAAUACCAAAGCUAUUUCGUUAUAUUUCUAAUGGCGCCUUACAAUUGGCAAUGAAACUUUCCCUUUCCCAUUUUGUCUUCCUCUUCCGCAACUGCCACUUCAUCCCCUCUACUAACUUUUUAAUUUCACCUCUUCCCCUUUUUUAAACCCUAAAAUUCUUCUCAUUGAAUUCAUUGCAAUCGUAGAAUUCGCCGAUUUUACUUUCUUAUAUAGCUAGGUUUUUCAUUGUAUAAUAAUAAUUCUGACGAGUACAGGUUUAGUGUGUGUGAACGGGAAAAAAUGAGCUGGAGGAGAGUGGGGAAAUCUGGUCAGACACUAGCGGUGCACAUCUUGCUUUUGUGUUUCACCACUUUACUUGUUAUGAAGCUCGAUCAUUCCGUCGAUUUCUCCUGGUGGUUAGUUUUUUUUUUUUUUUGUUUGCUUUCAUAAUUUUUUAUUUAAUUUAUAAAUUCUGAAUAAAUGAUGCCAUCAGAGUAAUUGUUUGUUCAUGCCUGUAAUUAUAUGGAUGCUGAUACUGCU
Molecule: long non-coding RNA, 545 nt
Filed under: Capsicum annuum
Lineage: Eukaryota; Viridiplantae; Streptophyta; Magnoliopsida; Solanales; Solanaceae
Description: long non-coding RNA (CANN_LNC006259)
Source: RNAcentral